Molecule: ribosomal RNA, 445 nt
Filed under: uncultured bacterium
Lineage: Bacteria
Description: bacterial SSU rRNA
Rfam family: Bacterial small subunit ribosomal RNA
Source: RNAcentral
AACGAACGCUGGCGGCAGGCCUAACACAUGCAAGUCGAACGAGAAACCAGAGCUUGCUCUGGCGGAAAGUGGCAGACGGGUGAGUAACGCGUGGGAAUUUACCCAGUGGUACGGAAUAACUCAGGGAAACUUGUGCUAAUACCGUAUACGCCCUUCGGGGGAAAGAUUUAUCGCCAUUGGAUGAGCCCGCGUUAGAUUAGUUUGUUGGUGGGGUAAUGGCCUACCAAGACUACGAUCUAUAGCUGGUCUGAGAGGAUGAUCAGCCACACUGGGACUGAGACACGGCCCAGACUCCUACGGGAGGCAGCAGUGGGGAAUAUUGCACAAUGGGCGCAAGCCUGAUGCAGCCAUGCCGCGUGAGUGAAGAAGGCCUUAGGGUUGUAAAACUCUUUCACCGGUGAAGAUAAUGACGGUAGCCGGAGAAGAAGCCCCGGCUAACUCCGUG